RNAcentral lists this ribosomal RNA (590 nucleotides) under uncultured bacterium. RNAcentral's name for it is "partial 16S ribosomal RNA". It matches the Rfam family "Bacterial small subunit ribosomal RNA", at positions 355 to 1375 of the family's 1533-position model. The record is from RNAcentral.
UGGGGAAUAUUGCACAAUGGGCGCAAGCCUGAUGCAGCCAUGCCGCGUGUGUGAAGAAGGCCUUCGGGUUGUAAAGCACUUUCAGCGAGGAGGAAGGUGGUGAGCUUAAUACGCUCAUCAAUUGACGUUACUCGCAGAAGAAGCACCGGCUAACUCCGUGCCAGCAGCCGCGGUAAUACGGAGGGUGCAAGCGUUAAUCGGAAUUACUGGGCGUAAAGCGCACGCAGGCGGUUUGUUAAGUCAGAUGUGAAAUCCCCGGGCUCAACCUGGGAACUGCAUUUGAAACUGGCAAGCUAGAGUCUCGUAGAGGGGGGUAGAAUUCCAGGUGUAGCGGUGAAAUGCGUAGAGAUCUGGAGGAAUACCGGUGGCGAAGGCGGCCCCCUGGACGAAGACUGACGCUCAGGUGCGAAAGCGUGGGGAGCAAAACAGGAUUAGAUACCCUGGUAGUCCACGCUGUAAAACGAUGUCGAUUUUGGAGGUUGUGCCCUUGAGGCGUGGCUUCCGGAGCUAACGCGUUAAAUCGACCGCCUGGGGAGUACGGCCGCAAGGUUAAAAACUUAAAUGAAUUGACGGGGUCAUAGCUGUUUCCU